AACGAACGCUGGCGGCAUGCCUAACACAUGCAAGUCGAACGAGACCUUCGGGUCUAGUGGCGCACGGGUGCGUAACGCGUGGGAACCUGCCCUUAGGUUCGGAAUAACUCCCCGAAAGGGGUGCUAAUACCGGAUAAUGUCUUCGGACCAAAGAUUUAUCGCCUUUGGAUGGGCCCGCGUUGGAUUAGCUAGUUGGUAGGGUAAAAGCCUACCAAGGCGACGAUCCAUAGCUGGUCUGAGAGGAUGACCAGCCACACUGGGACUGAGACACGGCCCAGACUCCGACGGAAGGCAGCAGUAGGGAAUAUUGUACGAGGAGCGAAAGCCUGAUCCAGCAGUGCCGCGUGAGUGAUGAAGGCCUUAGGGUUGUAAAGCUCUUUUACCCGGGAUGAUAAUGACAGUACCGGGAAAAUAAGCUCCGGCUAACUCCGUG
This 433-nucleotide ribosomal RNA is filed under the name uncultured bacterium. RNAcentral's name for it is "partial 16S ribosomal RNA". It matches the Rfam family "Bacterial small subunit ribosomal RNA", at positions 29 to 507 of the family's 1533-position model. The record is from RNAcentral.